Molecule: long non-coding RNA, 1793 nt
Organism: Oreochromis niloticus (Nile tilapia)
Lineage: Eukaryota; Metazoa; Chordata; Actinopteri; Cichliformes; Cichlidae
Exons: 3
Source: RefSeq, a predicted model, not a curated record
AUUAAUAAUGAAAUGGUAAUGAUGAUUAUACUAAUAGCAGCAAAUAAUAGCAGGAAAAUAUUUCUCCUCUGGACACUACGUGACAGUUGGUAUCAAGGGAAUUCACUCGAGACCUAGUUUUCCUUCCCUGCCAGCUCACCUCAGCCGACCUAAGGAGAAUACUGCGUAGGGUAACAAAGGAAAUGUCUGCUGUUUGAAGAACCCGCUGUUUCAACUCUCUACGCAGCAUAUCAUCAUGAACAUGUUGAACUGCUCUCUUAACACUGUAUCACAUUUGGGGAUACCUCUCAGGAUCUGGAGGUUUGACUGGAAAGUUCCAUCAGGCACCUGAGUUCCUUGGUCUCCACCCCUGGGCGGAGCCAUCAUCUCUCCUGCAGUCCUGAACGCCUGAGGCUGAUUCUGGGUAAUCAGGUUGAGGAUUUAAGUUCCACUGAGACUCUCCUUCACUGCCAGUUUGUCAACAACCUCACUUUUCGCAUUCUGGAACAAUACAAAGGACCUCACCUGCCUGCCCUCCAGCCACCACUCACCACCUCGGACACAGCGGAACUCAGGUCAGCCAGCCUUUGCCACUACACACCUGGAUUCUCACCGCCUCUCCCUCAAAGUCAAGUUCACCCCUGCCAAGUUCAACGCACCCGCUCCAUCCCCGUCGCUACCUGCCAAUUCCCCAUUCACCCCACUGUCCCACGGCCACAUCAUUAGCAACACUUUGCCACGAAUUCACCUGUUGACCUAAUAAAUAAACACUGUAAAACGUACGAGCCAUCUCUGUUGUGGUUGUCUGCGUUUGAGUCCAGUUUAGCUAUCGGCCUGUGGCCAUUGUGACAAUACCACCUGAUAUUCCAACAUCCAUGAAUAAUUUACGGGCAUAAAAGUAGUCUUGCAGAUAUUCCCCCUCUUUCUGGAUACGCUGUAAAAACUGUAACUGAGCAGCUACCUAAGAAUGAAUACAGCUAUAAUUCUCAUUUAAAAUAGCAAAAAUCUUUACUGGAGUAUCUCUCCGACACUGCCUUCAGGAUGGUCCAUCACAAACAUCAGUUGUUCUGCUCUUGACAAAGGGCGACUCUCCGGACAUCUAUGCACUUCUUCAACCUACUGGUCAACAGUUAACAAGUCCACUGACAAUUUCUCAGUAAACUUCAGACAUUUAUGCGCUUGGGGCACAUAAACAUAACACACAUUUGGAGCUUCAUUUAUUGGGUUCAAAUUUGAUGGCGCAGUGGAGGGCCUGGCACUGGACCAGUCACCAGUGAGCAUUCCUGUAACUGGUCUCUCAAUUGUUCAUUUGCUCCUUUCAGCUACUGCAGCUCCUGCAGCUGCUCCAAGAGGGCCUGUACAUUGUCCAUAGGGUCAGUGAAUGAGGUUGAUUAUCACAGCUGUCCGUCCAACUGAUGGCUUUCCCUCCGUUGGAGAUGUUACUGUUUUUCCUCCUCUCAGUAUCAGCCAGGAUCAGCCAGCUUCCUUUUCUUUGGGGAAGCCAAGUGUUUCCCUAAGGAAAUGAUUGGUACCACUGCAAUCACCAUAAGCACCUAUGCAAGGCCCAGUUAACAUAAAAGCAGACCCAAAUGCAAAAAAAUCCGUUUUAAAACACGACCCUUACUCUAAAACAAACUAGGGAUAAAGAGCAAUAAAAGGAGAAAAGGAAACACUGUGACACAAUCACAUGUGCAGCCCAUCCUACAGACAGUACAAUAUAAAUUACAUGUCAGUGCAUUAACACAUUUUUUAUGUCAAAUAUAUAAAAUUACUGUACCUCCAAUCCACUGCUAUGUUUGCCACACAACUUGACU